CAGCCAUGCCGCGUGUGUGAAGAAGGCCUUUUGGUUGUAAAGCACUUUAAGCGAGGAGGAGGCUACUCUAGUUAAUACCUAGAGAUAGUGGACGUUACUCGCAGAAUAAGCACCGGCUAACUCUGUGCCAGCAGCCGCGGUAAUACAGAGGGUGCAAGCGUUAAUCGGAUUUACUGGGCGUAAAGCGCGCGUAGGUGGCCAAUUAAGUCAAAUGUGAAAUCCCCGAGCUUAACUUGGGAAUUGCAUUCGAUACUGGUUGGCUAGAGUAUGGGAGAGGAUGGUAGAAUUCCAGGUGUAGCGGUGAAAUGCGUAGAGAUCUGGAGGAAUACCGAUGGCGAAGGCAGCCAUCUGGCCUAAUACUGACACUGAGGUGCGAAAGCAUGGGGAGCAAACAGGAUUAGAUACCCUGGUAGUCCAUGCCGUAAACGAUGUCUACUAGCCGUUGGGGCCUUUGAGGCUUUAGUGGCGCAGCUAACGCGAUAAGUAGACCGCCUGGGGAGUACGGUCGCAAGACUAAAACUCAAAUGAAUUGACGGGGGCCCGCACAAGCGGUGGAGCAUGUGGU
RNAcentral lists this ribosomal RNA (565 nucleotides) under bacterium E-1-0-11A. Its description in RNAcentral is "bacterial SSU rRNA". It matches the Rfam family "Bacterial small subunit ribosomal RNA", at positions 389 to 945 of the family's 1533-position model. The record is from RNAcentral. RNAcentral also lists the same sequence under 1 other name.